AAUGAAAGUAACAUCUGUUUCAGGUCUAUUAGGUACAGGUUUCUUACAUGUGUUCUCUCAUUUUAUCCUCAAAAUAACUGAGUUAGGAAUCACAUUGCCAUUUUUCAGAUGAUGAAAUGGAGACUCCUGGAGACAAAGCAGAAAGGAUGCUUGGGGCGGAUUGCCUAGGAUUAUAUUCCAUCUCCAGCACUUACCAGCUGUGUGAUCUUGGGCAAGUGGUUUACCUUCUCUGUGCUUCAAGUUGCUGGUCAGUAAUGGGGCUAACAAAAGUGGCUACUUCAAAAUGUUAUUAUGAGGAUUAAAUUAAAUGAUUUUUGGGUACCUAGAACAGUGUCUGGUACACAGAAAGCACUUGUUAAAUGUUAGCUGCUGCUGCUCUGAGAGGCAGUGCAGUGCAGCACAGUGGUUUAGCACACUGCUUCUGGAAUGAGAUGUUCUUGGUUUGAAUCUCAGCACACCAGUUACUAGCUAUAUGAACUUGGGUAAAUUACUUAUGUUCUCAGUGACUAGUCUCAUCUACAAAAUAGGAAUAUUCCUGAUGAUUGGUUCCUCAGUGAAAUGGUUAGCUUCCCACAUUAUUACCUUGCAGUGAGUUCUGCCAACUGAAAAGCCCUUUUCAACCCUAUGGAGCUUUUCAUCAGAUCUUUAGUGACCCAUUUUAAACGUGAGUAGACUUCAAAAAAUUACAAGUUACAUCAUCACAGAGAUGAGAAGAUAUUGCAUCUAAGAAAAUAAAAAUGAAUGUAAAAAGAAAGAGUGGGGAUCAAAUGAGAAUAAGACAGAGCUCUUGAAAAUUAAAAUUAAUAGUCCAAAAAAAACCUUAAAAAAUAACACAUUUGAUAGAUGAGGAGAAUGCUCAGAAAGUAAAACAAAAAGAUAAACAGAUUGGAAAUAGGAAAGAAAGAUAAGAAAAUUGGAGGAUCCAUCAAGGAUAUCCAGCAUCCAAAAAGUUAAACGUCCCAAAAAGAGAAAAAUGGAGAAAACAAGGGGAAGAAAAUAUUCAAGGAAAAAUACAAAAAUAAAAUUCCCACAACUGAAGCCAUGAGCUUACUUAUCGGAAUCUACCACAUGCUAAACACAGCAAAUGACAAAAAGAUCCACAUCGAGGCAAAUUAUUAGGAAAUUUCAGAAUACCAUAGAUCAAGAAAAAAUAUCAAAAGCUUCCAGAAAAGAAAAACGAAAAGCAAAUAAAAACAAAAACAUAUAUAAAAGAUCAGGGUACAGGAUGGCGUUGGAUUCCUCAACAGUGGCUCAGGAGGCUGACUGAGGCUGUAGAAUUCUAUACCCAGCCAAACUAUUAAUUGAGUGUGAGCUUCUCAGCAGCAACACUGAAAACUACAAGCAAAGAAGCAGUAUCUUUAAAAUUCUGAAGAAAAGUGACUUGUGAAAUAGAAUUUAUGCCCAGCCAAAUAGCAACCCACAAGAGCGCUAAAGAAUUUUUUAAAUGACAGUCCCCCCACAUUUUCCUUGCAUUCUCCUUGUCUCAGGAUGCUGCUGGAGGGACUGUUCUGCUAAAAUGAGGCGGUCAACCAAGAAAGAGGAAGACAUAGAAUCUGCAAAGCAGAUGACCUGGUGGAGGAAAAACUGAAGGGAUAUUAGGAUUGUGUGGAGAGAUGCUAGGUUUGCAGCAGGGCCCAGGCACAGAGCACCAUCUCUUCCUGUCAACAAGGCCCCACUGUACUGUCGCUGGUGCUGUGGAUCCCCUGAAAGCAGACUGACUCUCAUUCCAGCCCCAUCUGUCUUCCCCAGCUACCUCACCCACUGCAGCUCCAAGGCCAGUCUCCUUGCACACCCUCCACAGGGCACAUGGAGACUUCUGGAGUCCUCCAUGCAUCACAGGAAUUGAGGAAGACUCUGGCAUUCUGUCAUCUGCUGUGUUGGUUUAAAUGCCCCAGCCCAGUUGCCUCAUCUUUUAA
Homo sapiens (human) is the source of this 1916-nucleotide long non-coding RNA. Ensembl annotates it as downregulated RNA in cancer, inhibitor of cell invasion and migration. Its record names the gene DRAIC. The record is from Ensembl. Lineage: Eukaryota; Metazoa; Chordata; Mammalia; Primates; Hominidae.